Molecule: ribosomal RNA, 465 nt
Filed under: uncultured bacterium
Lineage: Bacteria
Description: partial 16S ribosomal RNA
Rfam family: Bacterial small subunit ribosomal RNA
Source: RNAcentral
GACGAACGCUGGCGGCGUGCUUAACACAUGCAAGUCGAACGGAAAGGCCCCUUUGGGGGUACUCGAGUGGCGAACGGGUGAGUAACACGUGAGUAACCUGCCCUUGACUUCGGGAUAACUUCAGGAAACUGGGGCUAAUACCGGAUAGGAAUCCUUGCUGCAUGGUGGGGGUUGGAAAGCUCCGGCGGUUUUGGAUGGACUCGCGGCUUAUCAGCUUGUUGGUGGGGUAGUGGCUUACCAAGGCUUUGACGGGUAGCCGGCCUGAGAGGGCGACCGGCCACAUUGGGACUGAGAUACGGCCCAGACUCCUACGGGAGGCAGCAGUGGGGAAUAUUGCACAAUGGGCGGAAGCCUGAUGCAGCAACGCCGCGUGCGGGAUGACGGCCUUCGGGUUGUAAACCGCUUUCAGCAGGGGCGAAGCUUGUGGUGACGGUACCUGCAGAAGAAGCACCGGCUAACUACGUG